RNAcentral lists this ribosomal RNA (496 nucleotides) under uncultured bacterium. RNAcentral describes it as "partial 16S ribosomal RNA". It matches the Rfam family "Bacterial small subunit ribosomal RNA", at positions 29 to 507 of the family's 1533-position model. The record is from RNAcentral.
AUGAACGCUGGCGGCGUGCCUAAUACAUGCAAGUCGAGCGAACAGACGAGGAGCUUGCUCCUCUGACGUUAGCGGCGGACUGGUGAGUAACACGUGGAUAACCUACCUAUAAGACUGCGAUAACUUCGGGAAACCGGAGCUAAUACCGGAUAAUAUAUUGAACCGCAUGGUUCAAUAGUGAAAGACGGUUUUGCUGUCACUUAUAGAUGGAUCCGCGCCGCAUUAGCUAGUUGGUAAGGUAACGGCUUACCAAGGCAACGAUGCGUAGCCGACCUGAGAGGGUGAUCGGCCACACUGGAACUGAGACACGGUCCAGACUCCUACGGGAGGCAGCAGUAGGGAAGCUUCCGCAAUGGGCGAAAGCCUGACGGAGCAACGCCGAGUGAGUGAUGAAGGUCUUCGGAUCGUAAAACUCUGUUAUUAGGGAAGAAGAAAUGUGUAAGUAACUAUGCACGUCUUGACGGUACCUAAUCAGAAAGCCACGGCUAACUACGUG